Molecule: ribosomal RNA, 518 nt
Filed under: uncultured bacterium
Lineage: Bacteria
Description: partial 16S ribosomal RNA
Rfam family: Bacterial small subunit ribosomal RNA
Source: RNAcentral
GACGAACGCUGGCGGCGUGCCUAAUACAUGCAAGUCGAGCGAGUCUGCCUUGAAGAUCGGAGUGCUUGCACUCUGUGAAACAAGAUACAGGCUAGCGGCGGACGGGUGAGUAACACGUGGGUAACCUGCCCAAGAGAUCGGGAUAACACCUGGAAACAGAUGCUAAUACCGGAUAACAACAGAUGAUGCCUAUCAACUGUUUAAAAGAUGGUUCUGCUAUCACUCUUGGAUGGACCUGCGGUGCAUUAGCUAGUUGGUAGGGUAACGGCCUACCAAGGCGAUGAUGCAUAGCCGAGUUGAGAGACUGAUCGGCCACAUUGGGACUGAGACACGGCCCAAACUCCUACGGGAGGCAGCAGUAGGGAAUCUUCCACAAUGGACGCAAGUCUGAUGGAGCAACGCCGCGUGAGUGAAGAAGGGUUUCGGCUCGUAAAGCUCUGUUGUUGGUGAAGAAGGACAGGGGUAGUAACUGACCUUUGUUUGACGGUAAUCAAUUAGAAAGUCACGGCUAACUAAGU